CAGUAGCCGCGGUAAUACGUAGGGCGCAAGCGUUAUCCGGAAUUAUUGGGCGUAAAGAGCUCGUAGGCGGUUUGUCGCGUCUGCUGUGAAAUCCCGAGGCUCAACCUCGGGCCUGCAGUGGGUACGGGCAGACUAGAGUGCGGUAGGGGAGAUUGGAAUUCCUGGUGUAGCGGUGGAAUGCGCAGAUAUCAGGAGGAACACCGAUGGCGAAGGCAGAUCUCUGGGCCGUAACUGACGCUGAGGAGCGAAAGGGUGGGGAGCAAACAGGCUUAGAUACCCCUGUAGUCCCUGUCUCUUAUAC
This 301-nucleotide ribosomal RNA is filed under the name uncultured bacterium. RNAcentral's name for it is "partial 16S ribosomal RNA". It matches the Rfam family "Bacterial small subunit ribosomal RNA", at positions 509 to 807 of the family's 1533-position model. The record is from RNAcentral.